RNAcentral lists this ribosomal RNA (809 nucleotides) under Lentilactobacillus buchneri. RNAcentral's name for it is "bacterial SSU rRNA". It matches the Rfam family "Bacterial small subunit ribosomal RNA", at positions 56 to 822 of the family's 1533-position model. The record is from RNAcentral. Lineage: Bacteria; Bacillati; Bacillota; Bacilli; Lactobacillales; Lactobacillaceae.
UGCAGUCGAACGCGUCUCCGUUAAUGAUUUUAGGUGCUUGCACUUGAAAGAUUUAACAUUGAGACGAGUGGCGAACUGGUGAGUAACACGUGGGUAACCUGCCCUUGAAGUAGGGGAUAACACUUGGAAACAGGUGCUAAUACCGUAUAACAACCAAAACCACCUGGUUUUGGUUUAAAAGACGGCUUCGGCUGUCACUUUAGGAUGGACCCGCGGCGUAUUAGCUUGUUGGUAAGGUAACGGCUUACCAAGGCGAUGAUACGUAGCCGACCUGAGAGGGUAAUCGGCCACAUUGGGACUGAGACACGGCCCAAACUCCUACGGGAGGCAGCAGUAGGGAAUCUUCCACAAUGGACGAAAGUCUGAUGGAGCAACGCCGCGUGAGUGAUGAAGGGUUUCGGCUCGUAAAACUCUGUUGUUGGAGAAGAACAGGUGUCAGAGUAACUGUUGACAUCUUGACGGUAUCCAACCAGAAAGCCACGGCUAACUACGUGCCAGCAGCCGCGGUAAUACGUAGGUGGCAAGCGUUGUCCGGAUUUAUUGGGCGUAAAGCGAGCGCAGGCGGUUUUUUAGGUCUGAUGUGAAAGCCUUCGGCUUAACCGGAGAAGUGCAUCGGAAACCGGGAGACUUGAGUGCAGAAGAGGACAGUGGAACUCCAUGUGUAGCGGUGAAAUGCGUAGAUAUAUGGAAGAACACCAGUGGCGAAGGCGGCUGUCUGGUCUGUAACUGACGCUGAGGCUCGAAAGCAUGGGUAGCGAACAGGAUUAGAUACCCUGGUAGUCCAUGCCGUAAACGAUGAGUGCUAAGUG